UACGUAGGGGGCUAGCGUUGUCCGGAUUUAUUGGGCGUAAAGAGCGUGUAGGCGGCCAAGUAGGUCCGUUGUGAAAACUGGAGGCUUAACCUCCAGCUGUCGAUGGAAACCAUUUGGCUAGAGUCCGGAAGAGGAGAGUGGAAUUCCUGGUGUAGCGGUGAAAUGCGCAGAUAUCGGGAGGAACACCGGUGGCGAAGGCGGCCCCCUGGUUGGAUACUGACGCUGAUACGCGAAAAGCGUGGGGGAGCAAACAGG
RNAcentral lists this ribosomal RNA (255 nucleotides) under uncultured bacterium. Its description in RNAcentral is "partial 16S ribosomal RNA". It matches the Rfam family "Bacterial small subunit ribosomal RNA", at positions 524 to 776 of the family's 1533-position model. The record is from RNAcentral.